This 254-nucleotide ribosomal RNA is filed under the name uncultured bacterium. RNAcentral describes it as "partial 16S ribosomal RNA". It matches the Rfam family "Bacterial small subunit ribosomal RNA", at positions 524 to 776 of the family's 1533-position model. The record is from RNAcentral.
UACGUAGGGGGCAAGCGUUGUCCGGAUUUAUUGGGCGUAAAGAGCGUGUAGGCGGCCAUACAGGUCAGCUGUGAAAACUCGAGGCUCAACCUCGAGACGUCGGUUGAAACCGUAUGGCUAGAGUCCGGAAGAGGAGAGUGGAAUUCCCGGUGUAGCGGUGAAAUGCGCAGAUAUCGGGAAGAACACCCGUGGCGAAAGCGGCUCACUGGACCAUAACUGACGCUGAGGCGCGAAAAGCUAGGGGAGCAAACAGG